CAAUGGGACUGAGACACGGCCCAUACUCCUACGGGAGGCAGCAGUAGGGAAUCUUCCACAAUGGGCGAAAGCCUGAUGGAGCAACACCGCGUGAGUGAAGAAGGGUUUCGGCUCGUAAAACUCUGUUGUUGGAGAAGAACGUAUGUGAUAGUAACUGAUCAUGUAGUGACGGUAUCCAACCAGAAAGCCACGGCUAACUACGUGCCAGCAGCCGCGGUAAUACGUAGGUGGCAAGCGUUAUCCGGAUUUAUUGGGCGUAAAGCGAGCGCAGGCGGUUUUUUAAGUCUGAUGUGAAAGCCCUUGGCUCAACCAAGGAAGUGCAUCGGAAACUGGAAAACUUGAGUGCAGAAGAGGACAGUGGAACUCCAUGUGUAGCGGUGAAAUGCGUAGAUAUAUGGAAGAACACCAGUGGCGAAGGCGGCUGUCUGGUCUGUAACUGACGCUGAGGCUCGAAAGCAUGGGUAGCGAACAGGAUUAGAUACCCUGGUAGUCCAUGCCGUAAACGAUGAAUGCUAGGUGUUGGAGGGUUUCCGCCCUUCAGUGCCGGAGCUAACGCAUUAAGCAUUCCGCCUGGGGAGUACGACCGCAAGGUUGAAACUCAAAGGAAUUGACGG
This 614-nucleotide ribosomal RNA is filed under the name uncultured bacterium. RNAcentral describes it as "bacterial SSU rRNA". It matches the Rfam family "Bacterial small subunit ribosomal RNA", at positions 311 to 916 of the family's 1533-position model. The record is from RNAcentral.